GGGUGUAGAAUAAGUGGGAGCUUCGGCGCCGUUGAAAUACCACUACCUUUAUCGUCUUUUUACUUAUUCAAUGAGGCGGAGCUGGUUAACACCCCACUUUUUGGCUUCAAGGUCCUUCACGGGCUGAUCCGGGUUGA
This 137-nucleotide ribosomal RNA is filed under the name Amanita citrina. Its description in RNAcentral is "partial 25S large subunit ribosomal RNA". It matches the Rfam family "Eukaryotic large subunit ribosomal RNA", at positions 2456 to 2599 of the family's 3401-position model. The record is from RNAcentral. Lineage: Eukaryota; Fungi; Basidiomycota; Agaricomycetes; Agaricales; Amanitaceae.